GGCGGUCUCGUUGCCAGGGGGGAGUGAGAGCGGAUCCCUGCGAUCCUUGACGGAAGGGGAGAGAUCACGCCAUGGAGAGAAGAGGACCUCAAGUCUCUGGGGCCGGAGACGGUGAGGUCAAACAACUCGAAGAUUGCUCUGUCUCAAAGUGAGUUCUCUCUCUCUCUGUCUCUCUCUAUGCUUUAGUUCGAACCUGAAUCCCUUGCUAUGUCUAAAGUGUGAUCUCUGGCGCCGCGCCUAGUUUUUCUUGAUUUUCCGUAGUUGAAAUAUUCUUGGGAAUGAAUCUAUUAACUAUGGUUUUGCAUUGGCAUCUGACAAUACAUGAGCAGUCUUACUUAUGUAAGUAAUCCGUAACACAUUGAAUGUAUUAUCAUAUCGUUCUAUUUUACUUGAUUCUGGUUUUCGUGGGCUGUCAAGGACACAAGAACAGUGUUUCGCACAUCUAUUCUUUGCAAAGAAAAAGCUGAAGGAAUUGCCAGAGUUACUGACGUAUGUAGUUUAUAUUCUAGUUCUAACGCUUAUACAAUUUUCAACAUAUCAUCGUCGCAUUCUUUUAGCGACCACAUUCAUGGAGGUGAUCUUGAUCUAGCAGACAUGAUUAAUCUAUAAGGUAUGUUACGAAAUAUUGGCAUCAAGCUACCCACAUUCUAACCGACGCAGAUCUUCAAUAUUUCGCGUUCAAAUUGCGGAAAUCCGCUGCCAUUUGACACCACAGCAUCUUUGCAUCUUGUUUUCCCUGAAAAUGAAAUAAGGUGUUGUGCGAGGGUUUGAGAAGAAUAUGGGAAGUCGACCAUUAUUCUGGAAGAAGUGAUUGGCAAGAAAGGACGAGCACUCAAGAAACCAAGGGAGGGAGAGACAGAAGGAAUAUAAGCAAUGAAGAACUUACCUUUUCGUGAUCUAUCCUUAAUCAUCACCAAUAGGGGAUAUCUAAAAGAAGUAAAAAUGGGGUGUAAUAUAAAGUAUUAUUUCUAUCCAUGAUCUCUGCCUAAAAAUGGAUUAGAAAGAACAGCUCAGAUUUUCGUCGUUAUGUUUUCAAUAAAAAUUUUGCCAAUCCCUGAACUCUCAUAAAACUCUUCUACUAUUUCCUUCACACGACGCACCUCGGAGCAGAGCUUGUGUAAGCACUUUUUUAUCAAUCAAAUUCAGUAUUCACUGAAUUAUUAUGUCUUUGUCUGACGGAAUGAUGAAUGCCUGUAAAACCUACCACUAUGAAUGUGAACUGUUCCUAGUAUAUCUCUUCACAUCACAUUUAAUUUUCAACAUUGAAG
RNAcentral lists this long non-coding RNA (1268 nucleotides) under Spirodela polyrhiza (greater duckweed). RNAcentral's name for it is "long non-coding RNA (SPOL_LNC001366)". The record is from RNAcentral. Lineage: Eukaryota; Viridiplantae; Streptophyta; Magnoliopsida; Alismatales; Araceae.